RNAcentral lists this ribosomal RNA (446 nucleotides) under uncultured bacterium. RNAcentral describes it as "bacterial SSU rRNA". It matches the Rfam family "Bacterial small subunit ribosomal RNA", at positions 330 to 792 of the family's 1533-position model. The record is from RNAcentral.
CCCAGACUCCUACGGGAGGCAGCAGUGGGGAAUAUUGCACAAUGGGGGGAACCCUGAUGCAGCGACGCCGCGUGAGUGAAGAAGUAUUUCGGUAUGUAAAGCUCUGUCAGCAGGGAAGAAGAAAGACGGUACCUGACCAAGAAGCCCCGGCUAACUACGUGCCAGCAGCCGCGGUAAUACGUAGGGGGCAAGCGUUAUCCGGAUUUACUAGGUGUAAAGGGAGCGUAGACGGCAGGGCAAGUCUGGAGUGAAAGGCAGGGGCCCAACCCCUGGACUGCUCUGGAAACUGUCCGGCUGGAGUGCAGGAGAGGUAAGUGGAAUUCCUAGUGUAGCGGUGAAAUGCGUAGAUAUUAGGAGGAACACCAGUGGCGAAGGCGGCCUGCUGGGCUUUAACUGACGCUGAGGCUCGAAAGCGUGGGGAGCAAACAGGAUUAGAUACCCUUGUA